This 254-nucleotide ribosomal RNA is filed under the name uncultured bacterium. RNAcentral describes it as "partial 16S ribosomal RNA". It matches the Rfam family "Bacterial small subunit ribosomal RNA", at positions 524 to 776 of the family's 1533-position model. The record is from RNAcentral.
UACGUAGGGUGCAAGCGUUGUCCGGAAUUAUUGGGCGUAAAGAGCUCGUAGGCGGUUUUGUCGCGUCGAAUGUGAAAACCCGGGGCUCAACCCCCGGGCCUGCAGCCGAUACGGGCAAGCUAGAAUUCGGUAGGGGAGACUGGAAUUCCUGGUGUAGCGGUGAAAUGCGCAGAUAUCAGGAGGAACACCGGUGGCGAAGGCGGGUCUCUGGGCCGAUAUUGACGCUGAGGAGCGAAAGCAUGGGAGCGAACAGG